GAGACAAAGUUCAAGUUCUGGACAACUGUUAUUUAAUUUUGUUUUUUUGAGACAGGGUCUCACUUUGUAUUCCAAGCUGGGUUAGAACUCACUAUGUAGCUCAGUCUGGACUUGUUCUCCCGGUCACCUCAGCUGCCUCAGCCCGGGAAGGCUGAGAUCACCUGCUGGAGCCACCGCGGUCGGGGAGCUCAUUUCGUCCCAGCAAUGGCCCGGAAAGGGAUCUCGCUCUCCAGGAAGUUUUCUCGGACAUGUUUGGAGGCUCGGCAAUGGCUCCCGGGUGACUUCCCAGGUCGACCGACUUUCCUGAGCGUAGUGAAGAGGCGCAGACCGAGCUGGGGACAUGGGCCUGCAAGCGGGAUUCACGGUGCUGCUGGUGCUGCUGCUGCGGACCGAGGCCCCUCAGGCGCGACCCGGGCGGUCUCACUUGCUGCGCUACCUCUUCAUGGGUGCCUCAGAGCCAGACCUUGGACUGCCCUUGUUUGAGGCUUUGGGCUAUGUGGAUGACCAGCUGUUCGUGUCCUACGAUCAUGAGAGCCGUCGUGCUGAGCCCAGGGCCCCGUGGAUCUUGGGGCAGACCUCAAGCCAGCUGUGGCUACAAUUGAGUCAGAGCCUGAAAGGGUGGGAUCACAUGUUCAUAGUGGACUUCUGGACCAUCAUGGACAACUACAACCACAGCAAGGUCAGGAAGCUGGGCGUGCUGGCAGAUUCCCACACCCUGCAGGUGAUCCUGGGCUGUGAGGUACAUGAAGACAACAGCACCAGGGGCUUCUGGAAGUAUGGGUACGACGGACAGGACCACCUCGAAUUCUGCCCCGAAACAUUGGACUGGAGAGCAGCUGAGCCUGGGGCCCGAGCCACCAAGGUAGAGUGGGAAGGACACAAGCUUCGGACCAAACAGAGCAAGGACUACCUGGAGAGGGACUGCCCCGAGCAGCUGAAGCAGUUCCUGGAGCUGGGGAGAGGGGCUCUGGAGCAGCAAGUGCCUCCUUUGGUGAAGGUGACUCGACAUGUGGCCUCUUCGGGAACCUCUCUACAGUGUCAGGCUCUGAACUUCUUCCCACAGAACAUCACAAUGAGGUGGUUGAAAGACAGUCAGCCACUGGAUGCCAAGGUCGUCCAACCUGAGGAUGUGCUGCCCAACGGGGAUGGGACCUAUCGGGGCUGGGUGACCUUAGCUGUGACCCCUGGGGAGGAGCAGAGGUUCACCUGCUUAGUGGAGCACCCAGGCCUGGAUCAGCCCCUCACUGCCACUUGGGACCCCUCACCGGCUCGCACAGUGAUUAUUGGAGUCGUCAGUGGGAUUGCCAUUUGCGUCAUCUUCUCUGUUGGAAUUGUGUUCCGAAUCUUAAGGAAGAAGCAGGCUUCAAAAUGAACAUUCCUAAUUCAAAAAGACAAACCUCUGAGCACCCACCAUUUCACAAGUGCCGUUUAAGGAGAAACCAUGGGCGACUACGUCUUAGCCGAGUGUGAGUGACCCUCAUUCUGAAGCCCUGUGGCAGGGAGGAGACUCAGAGGUGGCACACUUGUCCCAUUGUACAUGUUCCAAGGAGGAGUUGAACCUAACACAGAGAGAAACGGCUCAAAGAACCGUGCUCUGCGUUUUCCCUGGACACUUCCUCAGAACAUUCUGGUAUCCGUCCAGCUGUGCGCUCUUCCUCCAGAGCUGGUUUUCCUGAAUCACAACAGCUUCUAGUGGCUUCUUUAAUUUUCUCCAUCCACCUAGGCCCCAUUCAUCCACCUCCUCAUGGGGAGGACUCGCUAAUUUUGUGUGGAGGGGGAUACAUGAUUCACUGUAACAUCGGAGAGAAGCUACGAGCCCUCAUCCUGGAUGCGCAGUCCUGCAGUCAAGGACCACUCAGCUUUCCUUUGAGACUCUCUGUUAUCCGACUGCCCUGUCACCAAGCUGACUUCUCUUCUGACUUCUGACUGGAGUGUGAUUGGGUCAUCACGCAGAUGUGAGAGCAGCACACUGUUCAUCCUGAGGAUCGAUGUUUGUGUGCAAGAUGAUGUUUUACUCAGCAAGGGGGAGAGAAGUGUCUUAAAGUGGAUUGAAGGUGGGGCUGGGUAUCUUUUUCUAAUUUGUACAAGGAUCCUUCACAGGCUUUCAAGGAUAAUAGCAUAUGCAUUUGUGACACAAUGGCCCUGAAGUACCCUCUCUGUUCUGAUAAUAGGAAUCGUGGAAUGAAUGAUAAUAUAGUGAAAAUUGUGUUUAAGUGAAGCCCUCAGUGCCACGCUGUGCUCCAGGAACCUGCUUCGGCCAGAUUCGCUCAUGGAAGUCACAGUAAUUCUAGGAAGAGGAGGCUGUUGUCUCCUCCAACCCCCCCUUUAGAUGAUUAAAAGGAAGAAGAGAGCAUCUCCCAGCUCCUCAGAGGGGGUGUGGCUUU
This is an RNA transcript of Nannospalax galili (Upper Galilee mountains blind mole rat), 2384 nucleotides long. It is a transcript of the gene named homeostatic iron regulator, with no coding region annotated. NCBI's taxonomy places the organism in Eukaryota, Metazoa, Chordata, Mammalia, Rodentia, Spalacidae. The transcript has 7 exons. The record is from RefSeq and is a predicted model, not a curated record.